This 750-nucleotide long non-coding RNA is filed under the name Homo sapiens (human). Its description in RNAcentral is "LHRI_LNC1702.1". The record is from RNAcentral. Lineage: Eukaryota; Metazoa; Chordata; Mammalia; Primates; Hominidae.
CCCUUUAUCAUUUUUUAUUGCAUCUAUUUGAUUCUUCUCUCUUUCCUUCUUUAUUAGUCUUGCUAGUGGUCUAUCAAUUUGGUUGAUCCAUUCAAAAAACCAGCUCCUAGAUUCAUUAAUUUUUUGAAGGGUUUUUUGUGUCUCUAUUUCCUUGAGUUCUCCUCUGAUUUUAGUUAUUUCUUGCCUUCUGCUAGCUUUUGAAUGUGUUUGCUCUUGCUUUUCUAGUUCUUUUAAUUGUGAUGUUAGGGUGUCAAUUUUGGAUCUUUCCUGCUUUCUCUUGUGGGCUUUUAGUGCUAUCAAUUUCCCUCUACACACUGGUUUGAAUGUGUCCCAGAGAUUCUGGUACGUUGUGUCUUUGUUCUCGUUGGUUCCAAAGAACAUCUUUAUUUCUGCCUUCAUUUCGUUAUGUACCCAGUAGUCAUUCAGGAGCAGGUUGUUCAGUUUCUAUGUAGUUGAGCGGUUUUGAGUGAGUUUCUUAAUCCUGAGUUCUAGUUUGAUUGCACCGUGGUCUGAGAGACAGUUUGUUAUAAUUUCUGUUCUUUUACAUUUGGCGAGGAGAGCUUUACUUCCAAGUAUGUGGUCAAUUUUGGAAUAGGUUUGGUGUGGUGCUGAAAAAAAUGUAUAUUCUGUUGAUUUGGGGUGGAGGGUUCUGUAGAUGUCUAUUAGGUCCGCUUGGUGCAGAGCUGAGUUCAAUUCCUGGUUAUCCUUGUUAACUUUCUGUCUCGUUGAUCUGUCUAAUGUUGACAGUGG